This is a long non-coding RNA of Antechinus flavipes (yellow-footed antechinus), 1281 nucleotides long. RefSeq lists it as uncharacterized. The transcript has 3 exons. NCBI's taxonomy places the organism in Eukaryota, Metazoa, Chordata, Mammalia, Dasyuromorphia, Dasyuridae. The record is from RefSeq and is a predicted model, not a curated record.
CUCUUCCAUCCCCUUCUCCUUUGCUUCUCCUUUUCCUUCUCCUCUUUUUCUUCUUUCUUCUUCUUUAGCUUCUUCUGCUGCUGCUUCUGCUCCUUCUCCUGUUCUUUUCUUCCUCCUCCUCCUUCACCAUUAAAACUACAAUUAUUACUACAACUAUCACUACUACCACCACCACCAUUACUACUAUAGCUAUUACUUUUACUACUAAUUCUAUUGCUACAAUUAUCAUAAUAUAGAAUGAAUAUAAAGGACAUAAAAACCUUCUAUAUAAUUGAGCUGAGCUUUCAAUAAUGAGUUCCAGUUGUUUAUUUUCAUUGGGUCAUAGAAGUUACAUUUGGGAAAAUAAUCACACAAUCAGAGUUUUUAACCUUUUCUCUAUUAUGAGCUGUCAGAAAUCAGAGACCAUCUUGUAUUUGUCUAUAUCUUCCUUGAUCUAUAUAAUCCUUCCAGGAUUAUAUUCUCUUUUUCUAAAACCUUAGAAACUUUAUUGAAUUUGUUGGAUUUUAUCAAGAAAAUCUUCUUCAGAGACAAGUUAAUGAGUUCUAUAUUAUGCUAAAGAUGAUAAAUCAUUUGACUUUACAUACUUCCUUGGUCACAAAGCAAAACCAGAUACUAUAGUGUUGAUGUUAAAGAGCCUAAUCCCUUGAGGUUUUCUCUCCAUCAGUCAGCUUCUUCCUUUCUGACUCUGGCUAUUUUUGGAUCCUCAAGUUCCAUGCCCCAUCAUUACUGACAACUUGAUAAACCCUCUUCAUUUACAUUUGACAUGCUGUAGCUCACCUAGGGGAAGACUUCUGAAGUUUCCCCAUCUUCUUUCCUGUCUGUGCAGUUUAUUUCCUUGAUUCUUGAUGGACAUUUCCCUCUCUUCAAAGAAAGUACAUAUUUCCUCUCAGGGAAAGACUUUUUCAAGAGAUUUAAUUGGUCUCUUCAAACUGAGACUCCUAUUCCCCUCUUCAUGGAGCAAAGGUAUCUCCAUUUUAGCCUUUGGCACAUUUUCUCUUCUGAUUCUGAAGAAGGCCGAUGGUUCCUUCACAAACCCAGAAGUUCUGAUAAUAGCAGCUUUGCCAUUGUCUUCUCUUCUGCCAAACAUCUAACCAUUAUUCAGAUUGAAACUUCAGUUCCUUCUUGUUUCAUGUAAAAACACUAUCAACAAGGCCAAUAAUUUUUUCAGUAUGUCCCAUUGUGAACUCUGAAAAGCCAAACCUAACAGCACAUUACUCUUUACAUAUUUGCAAUCCUCAUGGACCAUUCAGAAAUUUCUUUAAAAGAUUAAAAUAUUUGUGA